This is a transfer RNA of 58 nucleotides. It matches the Rfam family "tRNA". Rfam says of the family: Transfer RNA (tRNA) molecules are approximately 80 nucleotides in length. The record is from Rfam.
ACCCAUCUAGCUCAGUCGGUAGAGCGCUGGCCUUUUAAGCCAGUGGUCGUGGGGGGUU